AGAGGCCACGCCCCCCCACGGUUAUUGAGGGGCUGUUGGGGUGUGUGCCAAGAUGGCGGCCAGGCGGGGGACGGGCACCGAACGAGAGCGGCGGCGCUGGGGGUCCCGCGCAUCUCGCCCUCUCCUCCUCAGCCCUGGAGGAGGCGGGCAGCUCCGGCAUCCUCCGCUUCACUGGGGUGCAGCUGCGCGGCAACCCCAGCAGCGACAGCGCGGCAGAAGAUGGGUGCUCGUGGAGAAGAGAAGCUGCCAGGGAUGAGAAGAUCGCUGUUGAAGCAGGGCACACUGCAAACAUGACGUGCUCUUCCGUGCUUGAAGCUGGAUAAAUCUCCCUGCCUCAGCAGGUGGAAAGUGAAACCCAGGCCUGUGGCAAUUCUGGUGGUUAAUCCCCAGGCAGUGCUCCCCACUCCUCAGAAGCACUUUUGGGCUUUGUUCUCUUGGUUUUGGUGAUCUCAGUACCACAUUUACACUGAAGUGUGGUCCAAGAGCCCUGGGGCACCUCAGAAUUGUGCUCAGGUCCAAGAGCCCUGGGGCAGCUCAGAACCCUGCUCCACGUUCAUUGCUGGCGUUUCUUGUCUGGAUGGUUUGGUUUUACAUGAUGCCUUGUGCUCAAAUGCCAUUCCUUACUGCUGCUUUUGGUGAGGACACUCAGUGGGUUGGGACUGGGCCCUGCUUGGAACAGAGAAGGAUGGGAUUGCAAGGAGCUUCCUUCCAAACUGGGAAAACACAAGGACCCUGAUGAGCCAGGCACUGAGACUGUGCCCAGUGCCUGGCAGUCUGCCCUUGUCACAGCUCCAGGGACACAGACUGUUCCUGCAGCCCCUCCCUGUCUGCCUGUCCCUGGGAUCUGUAUUUCCUGAAAAUAAAUGGAAUUUCACCCUUCAAAAGUUUGCUUCACAGUGACAGAGAAAAAGCUUAAUAAAAAUGCCAAGGUCACAUUUUCUUUGCCUCCUAAAAUAAUAUGACAGAUCCAAUAUCUGCAUUAUUAACUAUGAGUGUGAGCUUGUUUUCUUUUUAGGGGCUUUCUAAUUUACCUGGCGCUGUUUUUCUUGUGCUGCACAAGCACAUGGCUGCAGCCACUCCUGAGGGCCUGUGGGCAGCAGCUCUCUGGGACCAGUAGUUAUUUAUUGUCUUGGCUAAAGAUGCCCUCUCACUGCAGAAA
Long non-coding RNA from Zonotrichia leucophrys gambelii, 1159 nucleotides. RefSeq lists it as uncharacterized. The transcript has 2 exons. NCBI's taxonomy places the organism in Eukaryota, Metazoa, Chordata, Aves, Passeriformes, Passerellidae. The record is from RefSeq and is a predicted model, not a curated record.